GAUGAACGCUGGCGGCGUGCUUAACACAUGCAAGUCGAGCGGAAAGACCCUGCUUUUGUGGGGUGCUUGUUUGCCGAGCGGGUGAGUAUCACGUGUGUAUAAUGCCCUUGACAUUGGGGUAUCUUCUGGAAAAAGGGGCUCUUACAGGAUAGGAGCUUCUGCUGCAUGGGGGGGGUUGGUGAGAUUCGGCGGUUGUGGAUGGAAUCGAGGGUUCUGCGCUUGUUGGGGGAGUAGUGGCUUACCAAGGCUAUGACGGGUAGCCUGCCUGGGAGGGUGGCCGGCCACAUUGGGCCUGCGAUACGGCGCAGACUCCUACGGGCCGCAGAAGGCGGGAAUAUGGCACAAUGGGCGGAAGCCUGAUGCAGCAACGCCGCGUGCGUGAUGACGGCCUUCGAGUUGUAAACCGCUGUCGCCUGUGACGAAGCGUGAGUGACGGUAAUGGGUAAAGAAGCACCGGCUAACUACGUG
RNAcentral lists this ribosomal RNA (468 nucleotides) under uncultured bacterium. Its description in RNAcentral is "partial 16S ribosomal RNA". It matches the Rfam family "Bacterial small subunit ribosomal RNA", at positions 28 to 507 of the family's 1533-position model. The record is from RNAcentral.